RNAcentral lists this ribosomal RNA (484 nucleotides) under uncultured bacterium. RNAcentral's name for it is "partial 16S ribosomal RNA". It matches the Rfam family "Bacterial small subunit ribosomal RNA", at positions 28 to 523 of the family's 1533-position model. The record is from RNAcentral.
GACGAACGCUGGCGGCGUGCUUAACACAUGCAAGUCGAACGGAAAGGCCCUGCUUUUGUGGGGUGCUCGAGUGGCGAACGGGUGAGUAACACGUGAGUGACCUGCCCUUGACCUUGGGAUAACUUCAGGAAACUGGGGCUAAUACCGGAUAGGAGCUCCUGCUGCAUGGUGGGGGUUGGAAAGUUUCGGCGGGUGGGGAUGGACUCGCGGCUUAUCAGCUUGUUGGUGGGGUAGUGGCUUACCAAGGCUUUGACGGGUAGCCGGCCUGAGAGGGUGACAGGCCACAUUGGGACUGAGAUACGGCCCAGACUCCUACGGGAGGCAGCAGUGGGGAAUAUUGCACAAUGGGCGGAAGCCUGAUGCAGCAACGCCGCGUGCGGGAUGACGGCCUUCGGGUUGUAAACCGCUUUCGCCUUUGACGAAGCGUGAGUGACGGUAAUGGGUAAAGAAGCACCGGCUAACUACGUGCCAGCCGCCGCCGUAA